CCUACGUGUGGCAGCAGUGGGGGAUAUUGCACAAUGGGGGAAACCCUGAUGCAGCGACGCCGCGUGGGUGCAGAAGCGCCUCGGCGCGUAAAGCCCUGUCAGCAGGGAAGAAAAUGACGGUACCUGUAGAAGAAGCCCCGGCUAACUACGUGCCAGCAGCCGCGGUAAUCCGUAGGGGGCAAGCGUUAUCCGGAUUUACUGGGUGUAAAGGGGGCGCAGGCGGCGAUGCAGGCCAGGAGUGAAAGCCCGGGGCCCAACCCCGGGACUGCUCUUGGAAAUGCGUGGCUAGAGUGCAGGAGGGGCAUGCGGAAUUCCUGGUGUAGCGGUGAAAUGCGUAGAUAUCAGGAGGAACACCGGUGGCGAAGGCGGCCUGCUGGACUGCAACUGACGUUGAGGCCCGAAAGCGUGGGGAGCAAACAGGAUUAGAUACCCUUGUAGUC
Molecule: ribosomal RNA, 440 nt
Filed under: uncultured bacterium
Lineage: Bacteria
Description: partial 16S ribosomal RNA
Rfam family: Bacterial small subunit ribosomal RNA
Source: RNAcentral